RNAcentral lists this ribosomal RNA (576 nucleotides) under Nemipterus peronii (notchedfin threadfin bream). Its description in RNAcentral is "partial large subunit ribosomal RNA". It matches the Rfam family "Bacterial large subunit ribosomal RNA", at positions 1850 to 2604 of the family's 2925-position model. Lineage: Eukaryota; Metazoa; Chordata; Actinopteri; Spariformes; Nemipteridae. The record is from RNAcentral.
ACGUCACGCCUGCCCGGUGACUAUAUGUUAAACGGCCGCGGUAUACUGACCGUGCCAAGGUAGCGCAAUCACUUGCCCUUUAAAUGGGGGCCCGUAUGAACGGCGCCACGAGGGCUAAUCUGUCUCCUUUUUCCAGUCAAUGAAAUUGAUCUCCCCGUGCAGAAGCGGGGAUAAACACAUAAGACGAGAAGACCCUGUGGAGCUUUAGAUACUAAGAUUGGUCCCCUCAACAUACUCUAAUAAAAGUAUUCAAACAAGGAAUUCAAUCGGACUAUCUUUGGUUGGGGCGACCGCGGGGAUCAAAAUAACCCCCACGUGGACCGGGAAUCUCAGUUCUACUCUAGUACUUUUUAUUCCUACAAUCAAGAGUUACCACUCUAAUCAACAGAACUUCUGACCAAUAAUGAUCCGACAAAGUCGAUCAACGGACCAAGUUACCCCAGGGAUAACAGCGCAAUCCCCUCUAAGAGUCCUUAUCGACGAGGGGGUUUACGACCUCGAUGUUGGAUCAGGACAUCCCAUUGGCGUACAAGCUAUUAAGGGUUCGUUUGUUCAACGAUUAAAGUCCUACGUGAU